GUCUUUUGAGGUAUGGACAGCUUCCAGCACUCACUCCUGCUACCACGAAGUGGGCUAUCCUUUCUGACUUGCUGUGGCGAUGGACUGAGGUCUCUGAGACCCUGAGUCAGAAGAGAACACACUUCCCUUGUUUCUAUCAGGUGCUGUCAUGAGAACACGAAGUAACCAAUGCAUUCCAGUAGAGAGAGAUUGAAAAUGAAAAGAAGUUACAACACCGCAGAGGCAGAGGAUCCUCUAGGCUCCGAAGACAAUGGUGGUUUGAAAAUUGAACGGAAAGUCAAGGCCAGAAGACGGUGGCCGCAGCUGAGUUAAUGUGACACACAGGGGAUGGAGACAAGGCACCACACUAAUAAUGAAGCUGAGGGUUGGGGAAGGCAGAGAGGGUCAUUCCUGAAGGCGAAAUGGACCCAACGAUAAGUGGGUGAGAACAGCCAUUCCUAAGAGCUUGUUCAGAUGGGGGUACAAAGGCAGAUAGGAUAAUGCAUCCUGAUUCAGGGUUUGCUGACACAUGGGCAUCCUGAUUCGCCGUUCACUUGUGAUCUUUCCGUUCAUUGCUCCAUGCAUUAUCUCAGCAACAGUUUUCAAGCGUGAUCCUACGGAUGCUUUAUUCCCAUCAAGUGGCAGCUAGCCAGGCUCAUCAACACUUCAAGGUGUUAGAUACAGUUGAGAGCACUAUCCUCAUUCUUUCUACUACAGGACCCAAGUGUGCUGAUGAGGGAAAGCAGAGGUUUUUUUCUCUCUGCAUAAGACCUUGAUCAAACUGUUUGCCAUUGUAAGCCUUACUUCCUUUAACUAAGGCAGAGGCAAUAAUGCAGAUCUUAGAUGAUGCCUGGGAUCUUACCUACAGACAAAUGAGGCCAGGUUCACUUUUAACUCUUUAUGUGCGUAAAUUCUAAUCCCGACAAUAGUCCGACGAUGGCAGAAUCAUAAAUUACAAAGGAGAGAACCGAGCGCAGAGAUCCAAGUCAUUUUUCACAGCCACUCAAUGGUAGACGUGACACCAGAGACUCACUGCCAUUCUGAAAUGCUCCAUCACUUUUGCUGAGGUUUACGGAGCUGACUGACAGGUGGUUUCCUUUCAGCCAUUACCAGAGAGCCUGGGGCAGGGUUACAUUCUGCCAUCUCUGGGAGACAUAAUGAAUAUGGCAGCCAAACGAAGCACUUUACUUGAGCAAUUCAAACAUACCAAUAGUUUGUUACAAGGCACCAAAAUCUCCAAAGCCGUGUUUUCGGUUUUGUUUUGUUUUUUUUUUUUUUUUUUUUUUUUAAUUAUGAAUUAUGUUCACGGACUAUUUUGAUGUUUGGAAAAAAAGUAUAGGAGCCAAUGGAUAUUAGCAGGGGAGAGAAAAUGAGAAGAGAAAUGAAUGGAAUUUAUUUGUAAGGAAAUUAAAAUAUGCUGUUGGUUGCAUGCAAAAUCAAAAGCCUUUAAUGAAACAAAGGACUGUAGGUAAUGGAUCAGUUAUGCGUGGACAGAGCAGACUAGUGGAUGGAGCAGGACUCUUUGGAGCCUUUCAAUUUCAACCUCUGGCCGUCACUUAUUCGUUAUGCAUGAAUAAAGGUAUUACUAAACUCA
This 1573-nucleotide long non-coding RNA is filed under the name Mus musculus (house mouse). Its description in RNAcentral is "predicted gene 10441 (Gm10441)". Lineage: Eukaryota; Metazoa; Chordata; Mammalia; Rodentia; Muridae. The record is from RNAcentral.